AGUGAACGCUGGCGGUAGGCCUAACACAUGCAAGUCGAACGGCAGCACAGUAAGAGCUUGCUCUUACGGGUGGCGAGUGGCGGACGGGUGAGGAAUACAUCGGAAUCUACUUUUUCGUGGGGGAUAACGUAGGGAAACUUACGCUAAUACCGCAUACGACCUACGGGUGAAAGCAGGGGAUCCUCGGACCUUGCGCGAUUGAAUGAGCCGAUGUCGGAUUAGCUAGUUGGCGGGGUAAAGGCCCACCAAGGGGACGAUCCGUAGCUGGUCUGAGAGGAUGAUCAGCCACACUGGAACUGAGACACGGUCCAGACUACUACGGGAGGCAGCAGUGGGGAAUAUUGGACAAUGGGCGCAAGCCUGAUCCAGCCAUACCGCGUGGGUGAAGAAGGCCUUCGGGUUGUAAAGCCCUUUUGUUGGGAAAGAAAAGCAGCAGGUUAAUACCCCGCUGUUCUGACGGUACCCAAAGAAUAAGCACCGGCUAACUUCGG
This 491-nucleotide ribosomal RNA is filed under the name uncultured bacterium. Its description in RNAcentral is "partial 16S ribosomal RNA". It matches the Rfam family "Bacterial small subunit ribosomal RNA", at positions 29 to 506 of the family's 1533-position model. The record is from RNAcentral.